CCUGAGCAAACCAAAAGAUCGAAUGGGGAGAUUCAUCGUCAGCGGUGUUGGCUUCCGUGCGGCUCGCGAUGGCCGGGACUUCGGUCUCGCGUUCACGCGGUCGCCGCGGCAUGCCCGGCAUCGUCGGCGUGCACUUCUCCCCUAGUAGGACGUCGCGACCCGUUGGGUGUCGGAUCAAUGGCCGGUCGGUCUGUCUGUUGCGCCUCGGCGCGGCAAACCAAUCGGUCCGUCUUCCGGCUGCCCGGCGGUAUAAAACGCUUAAUCACGGUAAUGGGUCGCAACUUGAAUGCUUUCAGGCCCGUCGGCAGGCUCGUCUCGCUCGGAUUUACGGACCUGGUGCCGUUGCCGGGCGCUUGGCGUGGCUGUUAGUCGACGGUGUCUCGGACUGGCUCUUACCGGUCUGCGACGCUACUGCUUUGGGUACUUUC
RNAcentral lists this ribosomal RNA (428 nucleotides) under Minotetrastichus frontalis. Its description in RNAcentral is "eukaryotic LSU rRNA". Lineage: Eukaryota; Metazoa; Arthropoda; Insecta; Hymenoptera; Eulophidae. The record is from RNAcentral.